Daphnia pulex (common water flea) is the source of this 921-nucleotide RNA transcript. It is a transcript of the gene named MKRN2 opposite strand protein-like, with no coding region annotated. The transcript is spliced from 4 exons. NCBI's taxonomy places the organism in Eukaryota, Metazoa, Arthropoda, Branchiopoda, Diplostraca, Daphniidae. The record is from RefSeq and is a predicted model, not a curated record.
GUGAAGCAAAAUCAUAUGUCAACUAUUUGCCUAAUUUGGUGAUCCGCCAUUUUUUAUGUUUAUGUUUUUGUACUUGGCGUUGGCGGUAUAGUCGAUUUUGGAAUAAACGAGUGAAUUUGCGAAAAGACCUGCGACGUGCUCAUAUUUUGUUAUUCUUUGGCGUCGUGAGAGUGAUAUUUUGCAUGCCAUGUCAACACUUUCAGAUUCUUUACUGUGUUUUCAGCAUUGCAGUAAAAUUAAUGUGUUCUGUUUUACCAUACCCAACAACUGUCCAGCAUGUGAAAAUGAGUUGUCUAAUACAGAUUUGACCAUACCACCUUUUCGGUAAAGUGAAUUCUUUGUUUCCUUAAAGUUCCAAGUCCUCUAACAUCAGAAGCUAAAAAUUGCAGUCUUUUGAUAAAGCCAACAUUUGGAAAUUUCAUCAGAGAUUUCAAAAGAGGUGAUGUGCUGCAUAUUGCUCUUUCUAAUUCAGAGAGCAAAAUAUUUGAAUUCAAUGAAAAUGGAAUAAGCUCCUCUAGUUUUGGUUCCUAUUUGAACUGGACAAAUUUUCUUUCUGUCAGCCUUGCCACAUUACCUUACACAUUUUCGGAAUUAGAUAAAGUUUUGGAAAAUACCAUUACAAUGGAUACUUGGGCGGCAGAAAGAUAUGAUGAAGUUAACAACAAUUGUUUCGACUACGUGAUAUCUGUGUUAAAUGCGGCCAAUAACAAUUCCAAUUUGACAAAAAUUCAAUUAACACAAGAGAUCAUCUCCCCAGCUAUCAACAGAACCAUCCGCUUACUUUCUAUCAUUAGAAAUGUAUCGCAAAACGGUUUCUUUCUCCAAGGUAACCAUUUUGAAGAGCCUUAAAUAACCAGUUGAUGUCUAUUGCCACGGUAUUUGAUGUAUAUUGAAUAAACGAAUUCUGAUUUUUUUUUUCAA